AAUCACUGCUCGGCACAUGUUCUUCUGACCUUAUUGCUGAUACCAGGGAGGGGAGGAGACGAGGCACCGCAGUGAGUGCAGGGACUUCCCCUGCUGCUGCUGAUCUCAACCAUCCGGCGUAGAUUCACGUGACCGCGCUGUUUCCGGUGACGUCAGGGCUCUGAACCCGGAAGGGGAUGCGGGCGUCCGUGGACUGCGGCCGGCGUCGGGUGAGGUACGGGCGGCAUGCUCGGACUCCAGGCCUCCUUCCAGUGGCUCCACCUCCAGGGGCGCCAAAAUGAAAUUAAACCUUGCCCCCCACCCAACAUAAAACAUUCUGACACCCCUGUCUACACCUCUGCCUGUGGCUCAUCUAUACUGCUGGAAAUGCUGCUUCCGAUCAUCUUUGAAUGAACAGCAGGGCAAUGAUAAAGGAAAACCUCUAUUACGUCUAUUGUGAAGAAUGAUGUCCUUUAACACUCAUGACUUGGAACAUUGUAUACAGUUUUUCUCCCAAAAAAUAAAUUCUCCAGUGGCCUG
Molecule: long non-coding RNA, 519 nt
Organism: Pseudophryne corroboree (corroboree frog)
Lineage: Eukaryota; Metazoa; Chordata; Amphibia; Anura; Myobatrachidae
Exons: 3
Source: RefSeq, a predicted model, not a curated record